UGGGGAAUAUUGGGCAAUGGGGGAAACCCUGACCCAGCAACGCCGCGUGAAGGACGAAGGCCUUCGGGUUGUAAACUUCUUUGAUCAGGGACGAAAACAAUGACGGUACCUGAAGAACAAGCCACGGCUAACUACGUGCCAGCAGCCGCGGUAAUACGUAGGUGGCGAGCGUUAUCCGGAUUUACUGGGUGUAAAGGGCGUGUAGGCGAGUUUGCAAGUCGGGUGUGAGAGAUUCGGGCUUAACCCGAAGAGGUCAUCCGAAACUGCAGAUCUUGAGUGCUGGAGAGGAUAGUGGAAUUCCUGGUGUAGCGGUAAAAUGCGUAGAGAUCAGGAGGAACACCAGUGGCGAAGGCGGCUAUCUGGACAGUAACUGACGCUGAGGCGCGAAAGCGUGGGGAGCAAACAG
RNAcentral lists this ribosomal RNA (406 nucleotides) under uncultured bacterium. RNAcentral describes it as "bacterial SSU rRNA". It matches the Rfam family "Bacterial small subunit ribosomal RNA", at positions 355 to 775 of the family's 1533-position model. The record is from RNAcentral.